RNAcentral lists this transfer RNA (100 nucleotides) under Acidobacteriota bacterium. Its description in RNAcentral is "Acidobacteria bacterium tRNA-Sec". It matches the Rfam family "Selenocysteine transfer RNA". The record is from RNAcentral. Lineage: Bacteria; Pseudomonadati; Acidobacteriota.
GGAAGCGAACGAGGGCUGGUGUCCUCCGCGGACUUCAAAUCCGUCGGGCCCAGAUCCAAGAGAUCGGGGCGGUGGGUUCGAUUCCCACCCGCUUCCGCCA